Molecule: long non-coding RNA, 4256 nt
Filed under: Malus domestica (apple)
Lineage: Eukaryota; Viridiplantae; Streptophyta; Magnoliopsida; Rosales; Rosaceae
Description: long non-coding RNA (MDOM_LNC006952)
Source: RNAcentral
UAUAAACCAAACUAUUAGGUACCCAAAGGCAGUGGCGAAGCCCGGAAUUGACAGGGGGAGGGGCGAAGUUAAAAGAGUGCAAGGUUCAAAAGAAUAGCAACAACCAAAUCAUUUUAUAUAGUAAUGUCUUCCAUAAUUUAUCAACAUAAACAAAUUACAAUUGUUGCCGAUGACGUUUCAUACCAUGAAAAUGUCGCAUAAUAGGCUCAUUAUCAAUAAAAGCAAAUACAUCUCUCUCUAUGUAAACAAGCAUGCUAUCACUCAACCAUUGAUCUCCCAUUUUGUUACGCAAUGGUGUUUUCACAAUCUUCAUAGCAAAAAAAGCUUUCUCCACCGAAGCGGUUGCAACCGGUAACACCAAAGCCAAUGUAAGAAGCUUAUACACUAAUAUGUAGCUUGCACACCUCCCAGUCUUCACCAACUCCUUUGCAAGAUCACCAAUUCCUCUCAAUGAUGAAAACUCACUAUGCAUCUUCAUAUCGUGAAUGUAACUGUCAAGUUGAAUUGGAAGAUUCAUGAGGUCCAUACGAUCAAAAUCUUGAGGAUAAAGUUGAGCUAGACGAACAAUUUUUGCUUUGUCAAAAGAUGCAAAAUUAUUCACCGGACUCAAACAUGCCAUACAAAGAAGCAACUCGGUGUUUACCUCAUUGAAGCGAUCAUUCAAUUCCUUUAAUUGUGUAUCAAGGACUUGAAAAUAGAGGUCCACACGAUAGUAAUGGAAGUUUGUGAGUCUUGGAGCUUUACACCUUGAUUUUCCAGGUACAAAAUGCAAAUCCUCCAUGUUAGGAACGACAAUAUCAUGCUCUUGACAAAACUUUUGUACAUCAUUAAGCAAGUCCCCAAAGUCAUCAUCUCUCAAGGAUUGUAGUCUUUGCUUGCAUACUUCCACUAACGCCAUUGCAUUCACAAUAUCUUGAUAUUUCUUUUGUAAUGCUUGUGAUAACUCAUUUGUAACUCCCAAUAUGAGUCUCAUAAAAAAAAGGUGAAACACAAAAUCAAAAGUUUGUAUGUUAUGGAAUAAAUGACUUGUUUCACCAAAAUUGUCUUGGUUGGUAUCAUCUUUAAUCCAUUCAAGCACCUCCACCACGGCUUCAAACAUGACAAUAAUACUAACUAUAGUACCAUAAUGUGAGUUCCAACGUGUAUCACAAGGACGCAUGAGACUAUUCUCUUGAUUUAACCCUAUACCCGUUUCAAGAUAACCAAUAUCAAGAGCUUUCUUAAUUUGUUCUUGUUGUAUCUCUCUAAAUGCAUCACGACGCUUACACGAUAAUCCAAUUGUAUUGACCAAAAUACUAGCAUUGUUGAAGAAAAUGGCGACACCCCCUCAAUUCCCUUUGUAACGGCUACAAGAGCUAGUUGAAGUUGGUGUGCAAAACAAUGAACAUAAAAUGCUUGAGGAUAUUUGUUUAAAAUCUUUGUUUUAAGGCCAUUUAGCUCACCUUUCAUAUUACUAGCUCCAUCAUAGCUCUGUCCUCGUAACUUGGACAUACUCAAAUUUGUUGUAGCAAAGAAUCUCUCAAUAGCCUCUUCAAGCGAGCUACUAGUUGUAGAGAAGACAUGUUGCACACCCAAAAACUUUUCAAUUGCUUCUCCUUUUUUGUUCACAUAACACAAUACCACCGCCAUUUGCUCUUUAGUUGAAGAGUCACGUGAUCCAUCAACCAAAAGAGAAAAAAAAUCACCUUCCAUAUCUUUAGUGAUUGCAUUUAUAGUUUCAAUGGCACAAGCACGGACAAGAUCUUUUUGAAUAUCAGAAGAAGUAUACUUAAGAUUCUUGGGAGCAUUCUCAAACACAACCUUCCUAACUUGCUCAUUAUGCUUGGAAAGAAAGUGCAUAAGCUCCAAAUAAUUACCUCUAUUGCUUGAUUUCAACGAUUCAUCGUGACCACGAAAAGGCAAACCUUGUCCCAACAACCAUCUUGUGCACUCAAGUGAGGCACUCAAUAAAGUAUGAUAAUUAUUGCGAGCUUCAUCGGUUUGCUUAAUCACAAAUGUUUCAAUGUGUUGUUUUUGUGUCAUCAAAUCUCUAGCUUGUUGUACAGUUUUAUUAUGAAGACUUCCAACACCUCCCUCAUGGGCUCGAAGAUUUUCGGGUCCUUUCCUCCAAUUUGUAAACCCUUUCUCAGUGAAGACAUCAUUUCCAGUGCCACCCAUUUGAUCAAAAUCACAUUUGAAAAGAUAGCAAUAACGACAAAAUGCAGCAUCCUUUGAUAUACUAUACUCCAACCACUUAAACCUAUCAAACCAACCGGUGAUAAAACAUCUUUUGUUGCUAACUUUUCUUGGCAUAAUGUGGUCUCUAGGUUGACAAGGAUCAUUUUGGAGAUAGUGUCUACGAAUUGCUUCACGAUAAUUAGGUGGAUAAUCAAGCAUUCGACGUCUAUAUCCAGGGUCUGCAUGAAGAUUAGCCAAUAUCUCAUCCAACUCAGUGGGCUCACUUUGUUGUGAACUACUCAGAAUAUUCAAAGGAGGACUUCUUAUAUUUGAAGGAGGAGGAGGAUGACUACUUAGAAUAUUUGAAGGAGAAGGACUACCCGAAAUGUUUGAAGGAGGAUUUAAGCAUUGUUUCUUAUAGUACCGUUCCAUUACGUAACUGUAAAAUGGAAAGAAAAAAAAAAUCUUAGACUCUUAAUCCUAUAGUCUAUACUAAUAUGCAUAAUAACCCAAACCAACAAUUCAAUUAAUCAAUACCAAUAAGCAUAUAAAUUAUUAAAUAAAUAAAAAAAAUUCAUUCAACUAAUCAUAUGAAUACAACUAAUCAAAAAUUCAAAUUUUAAAUUUUCACCCUAAAAAAUAAUUUCAUAAUUUCAUAUCAAUCAAUAAUCAUAGAAUCAUAUCAAUAAUCAAUAAUCAAUAACCAUAUUAGUGCAUUACCAUAUGAUUCUAUACUAAUUAAACAAAAUUCGUAUUAAAUAAUUAAUUAGGGUUAGGGAUUAUAAAUUUAGGAAUUAAAAAUUUACCUUUGAAAUUGAAGGCUAGAAGUCGGCUUAGCGGCUGGAGUGGCUAGUGUUAGCAGCAAAAAGCCAACAGAAAUCAGCCAAUGGGGAUUUAUUUUCCGUUCCGUUGGGGUUGGGCGUUGGCUGCAGGCUCAGGCUGUUGAGAUUUUGGGAGAAGCUUUGCACUCUCUCUCUCUGAUUGGGGAAGGGAGAAAUUUGGAAUGGUAAAGCAUGCGGGCUGACUAAGUGAAGGAAUGAGGGACAUGCGGUCCCCCCAAUACAUUAUACAUAUAUAUUUUUUUGUUUUUUUUCAAACAUUGAAAGUUUCACGUGGAGGGGCACUAAUUUGAAAGACAUGGAGGGGCUAACUUUGGGACAUGUGGGCCAGAUUUUAAUUUUUUUAUUAAUUUAAAAGGAAAAAAAAGAACCCAGUGCUGCUGCACGCAGCAGCAAAAACCAGUUCACCGGUGCCAAAACAGAGAUGGAGGGGCUGGGUUUUCCGGUGAGGGGAGGGGCGAAACCUCGGCUUCAGCUAUGUUUUCCGGCGAGGGGAGGGGCGGUCGCCACUCCUCGUCCUCACGUGGCUUCGCCACUGCCCAAAGGCACAUGUGAUCUACUCUUUUUCAUCAAAGUCCACCAAACCAUCUUCAUAUAAACAGCUUCUAACCCACCUAAAUCCUCUGCUUCUUACUUUUCCAUGGCUGGCCUUCAAUACAACUUCUUUCCCACUGACUUCCUCUACCCUCGUACUGCUCCUAAGUUGAGGACCUUAGAAAAAGCUACUGAUCUUCCCCUGCAAACCACCAAAGCAGAUCAUGCAGCCAGCGACAUUGAACAGCUCAAAAUUCAACACCGUGGAGUUCAAGUAGUCAAGAUUGCAAAAUCUCCUCCUGUCAUGCAUGGUUGAAUAGGAAAGGAUUCGCCCCGUUCGAUCAUCGCUUACAAGAGCAGUCUUUGUGAAUGCUGAUACUGUUAGGGUUGUGAAGCUUGUAAAGAUCAAGACCAUGAACUUCAGGAUUGGAUUAUUUAUGGGGUUACCUUUUUUACCACUAUGUAGUUACUUUGCUUGCUUGUCAUCAUGUAUGAUGUAUAACAUAUAUAAUUAGUCUCGCUUUGUAACACCAAGGAGCUAGGUGGAUGUUAUAUGAGUUAGUAUCAUCCAGAAUAUCUGUAUGUUCAGAUUAUUGCUAGUGUACGAAGAUCAUUGGUGUCCAUAUCUUUUCCCUUUUUCCCCAUUAGCUACAAUUGAAUUCAGAAUUUUCGGAUUUUAAGGCCGCCGUUUACUUUCCAAUACGUAUAAAUGUAUAAUCUCUGACC